This 229-nucleotide long non-coding RNA is filed under the name Lathyrus oleraceus (garden pea). Its description in RNAcentral is "Pisum sativum (pea) long non-coding RNA (PSAT_LNC036411)". The record is from RNAcentral. Lineage: Eukaryota; Viridiplantae; Streptophyta; Magnoliopsida; Fabales; Fabaceae.
AAGAUUUAAGGAGAUACCAAUAUUGAAGCAUUUAGAGCAUCACCGCCGAAGUUAUGAUAAUUGGAAGAUUGGUGUUUCAAAGUCAUUAAAUGUCUAACACUUAGAAAAUUUUCUAAGUGUUUCAAGUCAGGAUUUUCAAGCAAGUUCAUGUCAAUUUUAAGGAGUGUUAGAGGCUUCAUUUCAAGUUACCUUCAACAUGAUAAAUGUUCCUUUAUCCUCCCUCUUUCCA